UCUCUUUCUCCCUCCCUCCUUAACCGAUCGUCUCCCUUUCUCUCUCGUUUGCUCUUUGCCAGCCCCGAAAGGCUACCCACCGAUGUCGCCGCCAUUCAAGCACCAGACCAGGAAGACCAGACACCGCCGAAACUCCAUCCCCGCGAGCCCUUCGUCGUCGUUCUUCCCUGCGAGCAGAAGCCUCCAGGUCCGUGCGCCGCCGCCGUGGCUGGCGCAGGAGGCUCGACGAAGAUGGCGAUGGGGCUCGACAGCGUAGGGUCUGGGAUCGUUGGUGGAGAGUGAAACAGAGGAGAAAGAUAGACAAAUGAAGAGAAUGGGAAUUUUUGGUGUGUAUAGAAAUAUUCCAAGAAUUUUACUGUACUCUUGUACAUUUUCAGUUAUGAAGAACAAACGCAAUAGCUCUCAUGUUACCUCACUAGUCACGGCACCAGGUCCGAAGGACUCCUCACAGCUUCACAAAAUCCGGACAGCAAUAGGGCAGUUGGUAUUCUAUUUAUUUUGUUGUUGUUAGUCUUAUAUUAAUUUUUGAAGAAGAGAACUAUAGAGAUAUCUAUUUAUUUGGCGUCAAAAUAAUAAAUUAAUUGUUAUAUUAUUUUGAUUCUCAGAAUGAGUGGAUUGCUAGUUUAAA
Long non-coding RNA from Humulus lupulus (European hop), 628 nucleotides. RefSeq lists it as uncharacterized. The record is from RefSeq and is a predicted model, not a curated record. The transcript has 3 exons. Lineage: Eukaryota; Viridiplantae; Streptophyta; Magnoliopsida; Rosales; Cannabaceae.